Molecule: long non-coding RNA, 4410 nt
Filed under: Podarcis lilfordi (Lilford's wall lizard)
Lineage: Eukaryota; Metazoa; Chordata; Lepidosauria; Squamata; Lacertidae
Source: RNAcentral
AUUUUUCAGAACUUCUUUGAAACGCACCAGUUUACUGGCAACAAAAGGCAGCAUUUUGAAGGUAUCCGCUUUGCUCCAAAAUCUUAAGUUGCAAAGAUAUUACAACUAAAACAAAUAAAAAAGCACAGUCACCGGAUUAAGGAAAUCUUGGUUGAUUAAUCAUAUGUGUUUCAAUCUGCAUAGAUUUGAAACUUUUAAAAAACUACUUUUAGAGAACAAAAAAUGGUUUCUGUGUUUUUACUUAUACGCACAUACAUGUCAUGGCAGUAGAAGAGGCAGUCCCUGUUCUCUUUCACACAAGAGGGAAUAGCUCUUAGGAACAUAGGCAGUGGCCUUAUAAUGAGCUAGAUCUUAUACUAGCUAACUAUCUUCACAGCUUGACAACAGCUUUCUUGGGGUUUCAAAGAGGGAGUCUUUCCAGCCCAUUUCAGCAUUGCUGGGGAUUGAACCUGGGACCCCUUGCAUGCCAAAGCAAGCGCUUCACCACUGUGAUAUUAUCCUUCCCCUCAAAAUGAAUUAAUGUUCUAGCUAGCCCCAAUGGUUCUGAAUAAAGGGCUGGUUUAAAUACAAAGCUGCCUUAUACUGUGUCAAACCAUUGGUUUAUCUAGCUAAGUAUUGGCAGCGACACUCCAGGGUUUCAGGUGGGGCGUCUUUUCUAGCUGGACUUGGAGAUGCCAGGAAUUGAACGCAGGACCCUUCGCAUGCAGAGCAGAUGCUCUCCCACUGGACCACAACAGCCCUUCCUCUUCUUAGAUGGUGCUUGCCAGUUUUCAGAGGUUACUAGUAUUAAAGGUAACGCUAAAGUAAUUUAACUAGAUAAUCAGGGCACCUUUUUAGUUGAUUUUUUAAACCCAAUUAAUCAACCUAAAGGAUGCUGCCCUAAAAUUGCUGACAUGUUUGAAACUUUGUCAGCACCAGAAUUUGCUGUAUUUGACAUGGAAUUUUGAUCUUUUCCUUUUGGAUUUCAACCUUUAGCGAAAAUAUAAAAAUAAAUAAAUUCCGAGAAGUUCAAAUUUGAAUGCCAUCUCAGCAGUGUGAGACAUAGUAGCAGAUCGUUCCUUUCAGCUCUCCCCAAAUGGGGUUAAUCGCCAACAUCUGUGGUCAGAUUCGAAGCCAUUGUUUGAGGUAUCUGUGUGUUUGUAUAAAAGGGUGGUAGGAAAUGUAAUUGGGGUUGGGGUGGGGAUUUCCAAGUAUCAUACUCUGAUAACAGCUUCAUGGAUAUAAAUUAUACAGAGAAUAGUAUUACUAUAAUGCAUUUAAAAUGAUGAAAUGAAUUUGGAUUUAUAUUUAAAUGAGGAGACAUUAUCGAAGUGGCUCUCCUAGCCAGACUAGUUGCAGAAGUAUUUUUAGCUGGUGGGAAGUUGAUUUCUCCCCGCCCCCUUCCCCACUCCCUCACUCACACACACACAUGCCCUCUCUCACACACUCACUCACUCUCUCAUACACUUUUUAAAAAUCUCCAACAAUGCAAAGGCUAUGACUGUUAAAUCUCAAAACCCUCCUGAAUCAAGUCAACAGCAACGAACAUUUCAAUCUUUUAAUCCUUUCAUUUGUUUUUGCCUUGAUGAUAAUGAUGCAUUUACAUGCCUGGUUGUUUGAGGUUUUUGGUUGUUGUUGUUUUUUUUUUAAUGGAGAGGGGGGAAGACAAAAAAAAAAUUAGAACAUUUCUUUAUAAUUUAAUAUUUCUAUUUUAAUAAAUGCAUUUAUUACAUGUAAAUGUAGUAAGGAACUGGGCUAAAUAAAAUACUUUUUAUUAGGUAAUUUAUUAUAAGGAACAAAGGAUAUUUUAUUUUAUGAUAAAGUGAUCCUUAAAAAGAUUAGAAUGUUUAGAAUAUAUGUAGGUUGAAAAUACAUUUGUAUCCAGAGUAUUGCUUAAAAAGUGUUUUUAAUAUAUGUUUCUUUCUUUCCCCCUUCCUCUUUUUCGUGCGUGUGUGUGUGUAUGUAUCAGUGGGUAGUUACAGUAAGAAUAGCCCUUCCCAGAAAAAAAUAGUUAUCACAAAGUUGUAUUUAAAAAUGAUUAAAAGUGAUGAACAUUACAAAUCGGACAAAAGAAAUGCCACUUUUAAAACUGUAAAUGUUUGCCUUUGGUUUAAAAUCAUCCUCAGCUCACCAACAAUUAUGCAAUUUUCAUUAUUAUUGGAUGUUUAAAAAAUAAGCACACACUUAAGAAUUUAACUGCAUAGAACAAAUUUGGGUGAAGCUGGGUUGGCAUACUUGCCUCUUAGUGGAUCUGCUUAGUUGAGCCUAUGCCAUCCUAGUGUCCUUCAAAUGUUCCUGGACUACAAAUUCCAUAGGAAUUACAGUCCCUGGAGGACUCCAGGUUGGCAAGGGCUGGUGUGGACUCAUAGAGUCCAUGUUUGCAGAGUUAGAAUCAAGGGCUUUGUGGGCAAAUUGUCAGACCAACACUAAGCAGGUCCUUGUCUCUGAGCUCUCUUCAGGACCAUUUGGGUACCUGAAAUCCUCCCUCAAGACAUCCUCUUUGAUGAGCAGGCAGGUGUGGGAUUCGAGAUGGUCUAGCUUGCAUGAAUACUCAGGACAUCCUUUUGGGUCCGGUCCUGGCUUAGCAGAGCAGGACCAUAUGUUUUUAAGCUAGUUUAGGAUCCUGUCACCACUCUCCUCGGCUGCUGCCUCUUCCUAUGCAGUCUUUAUCAGGACAGUUUUGGACCAGGGACCACAACCCUUUCCCUUUAAACAUGGAGAUAGAUGCAGGGUGAGUACGACCACAGAAGCUGGGAAAUGGUAAACAGAAUAUGACUCUGGGCAAAUAGACAUAAAAAUGGCAGCCAGCCACUGUCUCUGUUGCUGGUCAGCUGGCGAUCUGUUGUGCCAUGUCAAGCAGCAAGGAGAAUUUCCCCAUAAUUUCCUAUUAGAAAUCCAAGGGAUCCGGGAAAUGAAACAAUUCUACCAGUCCCUUAGCUGUCUAAUAACACCCACACUAUGGUAAAUUACUACUUUGUAAAUGGUUGUCUAUAUCUAUCCUCCAUCUUUACUGGUGGGCUAACGUAUUUUGGGUCAUCCAAAGAGGACCUUCUCUGCCCCUGUGGAGAGUGUUAGAAAGACAAUAAGCAAUUUGCUUCUCUAGAGUUAUUCAUUUCCUAUCACAAAAUUCUUAAGCUUGUGCAUUGAUUUUUUAUUUUUAAAUAUACAUUUUUACAAUCUUAAAAGCAUAGGGGUAAUGAUCCAGGUAACAGUUUAUUCCCACAUGUUGCUGGACAGUUGCCUUGUUUUGCUAGAGAUUCAAAGUACUUUGUUGGUGAUUGAGCACCCAGUACUGUGCAGGAUAGAACCCUCCAAGUGUAUCUCUACACAACAGACUUAAGUGGAAUUAGCCUUCAUUCACUCUUCCCGGGAGACUGUACAUUAUUUGUGUCAGGGAGCCAGGAGUUGUAUUUACAGGAUUGUAAGAAACCCUCACCACGCUGCAAUCCCCAUAAUUCUCUGGGGCAGGAGCCAUGACAGACUAACUAGUAUGAAACUGACAUUUGUUUUAGAUGCAUGCCUCCUGGUGGCAGCCAACAUAAUGCCCUCCAGAUGUUGUUGGACCACAACUCCCAUCAUCCUGACCAUUGGCCAUGCUGAAUAGGCCUAAUGGGAGCUGGAGUCCAACAACUGAAUGGCACCAUCUUGGCAACCCCUUAGAGCUCGCAAACUUUUCUUUGUUUUUAUAAAAAGCCAUGAGUAUCCAGAAUCUACUUUUCUUAGAGGACAGGGACAUUUAUGAGUCUUCUGCCUUUCAACAAAAUAUCCUUAAGGUAAGAAAGCUACACACACCCCAGCUCUGUUGGCCUUUGCUCACAGAAUCAUUUUGUAAUUUUUAACCAAAAAGAGAGAGAGGGAGAAAGGGAGGGAAGAGGAAUCAUUAAGUAUAUUAAAAAAAAAAUCUUUCUAAAAGUAUAAAACUUUCUAAUGUAUUUCUUAUAAUCCUAUAGAAAAUAAUAAAAAUAAAUAGUAGAUGAUAUCAAUAUAAAAUAUAAGAAAACUGACGAUCCCAGACUGAGCAGAAUGUAAAAUAAACUCUUAACCAAGGUCAGGUUUGUUUUCGUUUUAUUAAUUUUCCUGCUAAUGCUAUGUCCCCCCACCCACCCAGAACUACAUUCCUUAGCUGAAAUUUGAACCACAGUUUAGUAACUUUGUGUCAAUCUAAGCUGCAAUGUUAUUUUUUUAUAGGGGGGAAAUUGUGGGAUCUAAUAAUAUGUAUUUUUUAAAAAAAGAAUUAAGUUUUGGUGGUUUUUUAUGUUGAUCUUUUAAAGAAUAUCCAUCCAAUACAUUAGAAAGGAAACAAAGAUUAGACUUAUCCUUUUUAAUUCUGACUUCCAGCACUGUGCUAGGAAGGGUUUGAGUUUUGAACAGAAAUUGGAACAUUGAGGUUUUGUUUUUCUUUAAAGGAAAAGCUGGUGUUUUCCUUCAGAG